Molecule: ribosomal RNA, 1286 nt
Filed under: metagenome
Description: bacterial LSU rRNA
Rfam family: Bacterial large subunit ribosomal RNA
Source: RNAcentral
UCAAACCGACACUGGUGCGCGAGAUGAGUAUUCUAAGGCGCUUGAGAGAACUCAGGAGAAGGAACUCGGCAAAUUGACACCGUAACUUCGGAAGAAGGUGUGCCUUUAGUAGGUGAACCUGUACAAGGGGAGCCCAAUGAGGUUGCAAAAAAUCGGUGGCUGCGACUGUUUAAUAAAAACACAGCACUCUGCAAACACGAAAGUGGACGUAUAGGGUGUGACGCCUGCCCGGUGCUGGAAGAUUAAAUGAUGGGGUGCAAGCUCUUGAUUGAAGUCCCAGUAAACGGCGGCCGUAACUAUAACGGUCCUAAGGUAGCGAAAUUCCUUGUCGGGUAAGUUCCGACCUGCACGAAUGGCGUAACGAUGGCCACACUGUCUCCUCCUGAGACUCAGCGAAGUUGAAAUGUUUGUGAUGAUGCAAUCUCCCCGCGGAAAGACGGAAAGACCCCAUGAACCUUUACUGUAGCUUUGUAUUGGACUUUGAACAGAUCUGUGUAGGAUAGGUGGGAGGCUUUGAAGUGUGGUCGCUAGAUCGCAUGGAGCCAACGUUGAAAUACCACCCUGGUGUGUUUGAGGUUCUAACCUAGGCCCGUAAUCCGGGUCGGGGACAGUGCAUGGUAGGCAGUUUGACUGGGGCGGUCUCCUCCCAAAGCGUAACGGAGGAGUUCGAAGGUACGCUAGGUACGGUCGGACAUCGUGCUAAUAGUGCAAUGGCAUAAGCGUGCUUAACUGCGAGACUGACAAGUCGAGCAGAUGCGAAAGCAGGACAUAGUGAUCCGGUGGUUCUGUAUGGAAGGGCCAUCGCUCAACGGAUAAAAGGUACUCUGGGGAUAACAGGCUGAUACCGCCCAAGAGUUCAUAUCGACGGCGGUGUUUGGCACCUCGAUGUCGGCUCAUCUCAUCCUGGGGCUGUAGCCGGUCCCAAGGGUAUGGCUGUUCGCCAUUUAAAGAGGUACGUGAGCUGGGUUUAAAACGUCGUGAGACAGUUUGGUCCCUAUCUUCCGUGGGCGCUGCAGAUUUGAGGAAGCCUGCUCCUAGUACGAGAGGACCGGAGUGGACACACCUCUGGUGUAUCGGUUGUCACGCCAGUGGCAUUGCCGAGUAGCUAUGUGUGGAAGAGAUAACCGCUGAAAGCAUCUAAGCGGGAAACUCGUUUCAAGAUGAGAUCUGCCGGGGCCUUGAGCCCCCUAAAGAGUCGUUCAAGACCAGGACGUUGAUAGGUCGGGUGUGGAAGCGCAGUAAUGCGUUAAGCUAACCGAUACUAAUUGCUCGUGCGGCUUGACCCU